This 305-nucleotide long non-coding RNA is filed under the name Physcomitrium patens. RNAcentral describes it as "long non-coding RNA (PPAT_LNC013028)". The record is from RNAcentral. Lineage: Eukaryota; Viridiplantae; Streptophyta; Bryopsida; Funariales; Funariaceae.
AACCCUAAUAGACUUCAAUCAAAUCCUAGGCCAAAUCCUAAAUCUUAAACCUUAAGUAAAUCUUAAAUCUUAAAUCUUAAAAAAAUCCUAAAUCAUAAUUCUUAAGCAAAUCCUAAAUCCUAAACAAACUCUAAAUCCUAAACCUUCAGCAAAUCCUAAAUUCUAAAUCCUAGACUCUAAGCAAAUCCUAAAUCUUAAAUCCUAAAUUCUAAAAAGAUCCUAAAUCCUAAGUAAAUCCUAAAAAAAUCCUAAUCCAAAUCCUAAAUUCUAGUCCAAUCCUAAAUUCUAAUCAAAUCUUAAUCAAA